RNAcentral lists this ribosomal RNA (757 nucleotides) under cyanobacterium enrichment culture clone CAWBG87. Its description in RNAcentral is "bacterial SSU rRNA". It matches the Rfam family "Bacterial small subunit ribosomal RNA", at positions 28 to 829 of the family's 1533-position model. Lineage: Bacteria; Bacillati; Cyanobacteriota. The record is from RNAcentral.
GAUGAACGCUGGCGGUAUGCUUAACACAUGCAAGUCGAACGAUGUUUUAGGACAUAGUGGCGGACGGGUGAGUAACGCGUAAGAAUCUACCUUCAGGUUUGGGACAACCAUUGGAAACGGUGGCUAAUACCGAAUGUGCCGAGAGGUGAAAGGCUUGCUGCCUGAAGAAGAGCUUGCGUCUGAUUAGCUAGUUGGUGGGGUAAGAGCCUACCAAGGCGACGAUCAGUAGCUGGUCUGAGAGGAUGAUCAGCCACACUGGGACUGAGACACGGCCCAGACUCCUACGGGAGGCAGCAGUGGGGAAUUUUCCGCAAUGGGCGAAAGCCUGACGGAGCAAUACCGCGUGAGGGAGGAAGGCUCUUGGGUUGUAAACCUCUUUUCUCAGGGAAGAAGACAAUGACGGUACCUGAGGAAUAAGCAUCGGCUAACUCCGUGCCAGCAGCCGCGGUAAUACGGAGGAUGCAAGCGUUAUCCGGAAUGAUUGGGCGUAAAGGGUCCGCAGGUGGUAGUGUAAGUCUGCUGUUAAAGAGUCACGCUCAACGUGAUAAGAGCAGUGGAAACUACACAACUAGAGUACGGUAGGGGCAGAAGGAAUUCCUGGUGUAGCGGUGAAAUGCGUAGAUAUCAGGAAGAACACCGGUGGCGAAAGCGUUCUGCUAGACCUGUACUGACACUGAGGGACGAAAGCUAGGGGAGCGAAUGGGAUUAGAUACCCCAGUAGUCCUAGCCGUAAACGAUGGAUACUAGGUGUGGCUUG